AUCAAAGAAGGUAAUAAUCCUGUAGUCGAAAAUGUUGUCUCUCUUGAGUGGAUCCUGAGUACGACGGAGCACGUGAAAUUCCGUCGGAAUCUGGGAGGACCAUCUCCUAAGGCUAAAUACUCUCUAGUGACCGAUAGUGAACCAGUACCGUGAGGGAAAGGUGAAAAGCACCCCGGAAGGGGAGUGAAAUAGAACCUGAAACCGUGUGCUUACAAGUAGUCAGAGCCCGUUAAUGGGUGAUGGCGUGCCUUUUGUAGAAUGAACCGGCGAGUUACGAUUUGAUGCAAGGUUAAGCAGUAAAUGUGGAGCCGUAGCGAAAGCGAGUCUGAAUAGGGCGUUUAGUAUUUGGUCGUAGACCCGAAACCAGGUGAUCUACCCUUGGUCAGGUUGAAGUUCAGGUAACACUGAAUGGAGGACCGAACCGACUUACGUUGAAAAGUGAGCGGAUGAACUGAGGGUAGCGGAGAAAUUCCAAUCGAACCUGGAGAUAGCUGGUUCUCUCCGAAAUAGCUUUAGGGCUAGCCUCAAGUGAUGAUUAUUGGAGGUAGAGCACUGUUUGGACGAGGGGCCCCUCUCGGGUUACCGAAUUCAGACAAACUCCGAAUGCCAAUUAAUUUAACUUGGGAGUCAGAACAUGGGUGAUAAGGUCCGUGUUCGAAAGGGAAACAGCCCAGACCACCAGCUAAGGUCCCAAAAUAUAUGUUAAGUGGAAAAGGAUGUGGCGUUGCCCAGACAACUAGGAUGUUGGCUUAGAAGCAGCCAUCAUUUAAAGAGUGCGUAAUAGCUCACUAGUCGAGUGACACUGCGCCGAAAAUGUACCGGGGCUAAACAUAUUACCGAAGCUGUGGAUUGUCCUUUGGACAAUGGUAGGAGAGCGUUCUAAGGGCGUUGAAGCAUGAUCGUAAGGACAUGUGGAGCGCUUAGAAGUGAGAAUGCCGGUGUGAGUAGCGAAAGACGGGUGAGAAUCCCGUCCACCGAUUGACUAAGGUUUCCAGAGGAAGGCUCGUCCGCUCUGGGUUAGUCGGGUCCUAAGCUGAGGCCGACAGGCGUAGGCGAUGGAUAACAGGUUGAUAUUCCUGUACCACCUAUAAUCGUUUUA
Molecule: ribosomal RNA, 1099 nt
Filed under: Staphylococcus aureus
Lineage: Bacteria; Bacillati; Bacillota; Bacilli; Caryophanales; Staphylococcaceae
Description: partial 23S ribosomal RNA
Rfam family: Bacterial large subunit ribosomal RNA
Source: RNAcentral